Molecule: ribosomal RNA, 253 nt
Filed under: uncultured bacterium
Lineage: Bacteria
Description: partial 16S ribosomal RNA
Rfam family: Bacterial small subunit ribosomal RNA
Source: RNAcentral
GACGAACUGUGCGAACGUUGUUCGGAAUCACUGGGCUUAAAGGGUGCGUAGGCGGCUUGUUAAGUCGGGGGUGAAAUACUUCGGCUCAACCGGAGAAUUGCCUUCGAUACUGGCGAGCUGGAGGAAGGUAGGGGUCGCGGGAACUGCCAGUGGAGCGGUGAAAUGCGUUGAUAUUGGCAGGAACGCUGGUGGUGAAGACGCGCGGCUGGACCUUUUCUGACGCUGAUGCACGAAAGCCAGGGGAGCAAACGGG